GCGGAAGUGCCGCGGGGCCGCCUUCUCCGUCCCGGCUGCGGCCCCUGCCGGUUACAUAACCCGUCGCGCGGGGUGGGGGGGCCCGCAGUUCCACGUCCGGCUUCCCGUCUCCCCCAGGAUGCGCUGAGCCCCGCGACGCCGUCCGCUGCCGCCGGCUCCCGUCCGAGGUGUGAAUGACAGAGGUGGUGCCUUCCAGUGCCCUCAGCGAGGUCAGCCUGCGUCUCCUCUGCCACGAUGACAUAGACACUGUGAAGCACCUGUGUGGCGACUGGUUCCCCAUUGAGUACCCAGACUCAUGGUAUCGUGAUAUCACAUCCAACAAGAAGUUCUUCUCUCUUGCUGCAACCUACAGAGGUGCCAUCGUGGGAAUGAUAGUAGCUGAAAUAAAGAAUAGGACCAAAAUACAUAAAGAGGAUGGAGAUAUUCUAGCCUCCAGCUUCUCUGUGGACACACAAGUUGCAUACAUUCUAAGUCUGGGAGUGGUGAAAGAAUUCAGAAAGCACGGCAUAGGUUCCCUUUUACUAGAAAGCUUAAAGGAUCAUAUUUCAACCACUGCCCAGGACCACUGCAAAGCCAUCUACCUACAUGUCCUCACCACCAACAACACAGCAAUAAACUUCUAUGAGAACAGAGACUUUAAGCAGCAUCACUAUCUGCCCUAUUACUACUCCAUUCGAGGGGUCCUCAAAGAUGGCUUCACCUAUGUCCUCUACAUCAAUGGCGGCCACCCUCCCUGGACCAUCUUAGACUACAUCCAGCACCUGGGCUCAGCAUUAGCCAACCUGAGUCCCUGCUCCAUCCCACACAGGAUCUACCGCCAGGCCCACAGUCUGCUCUGCAGCUUUCUGCCAUGGUCCAGCAUCUCCACCAAAGGUGGCAUCGAAUACAGCCGUACCAUGUGAUACCAUUGGGGCAGCCUCCCCCAGGCCUCUGUCCUCAGCACUUUGUGGAGCCUAUUUUCCUGUCUGUCUGACUUCUGCUGUCCUUUGCAAGGAGCUGGUAGCCACCUGCCGGCCCAUCAGCCUGCCCCAGGUGCAGGCCCGGUGCUAUGCUGGCUCAGGAGCAGAGUGGAUGCCUGGUCUUCAACAGGCUCUCCUUCCUGCUUCUGGAAACUUCUUCCUCCGGGAGCCUCUGUCCUGCCUCCGUGCACUGGCACCAUCUCAAUGGCCUGGCAGGUGUUGGCUACAUUCACUGGACAAGGGCUUGCCAGGCCUCUUCUGCCUCCUCCUCCAUCUUUCCUUCAAAAUGGACUGAACUUCACUGUGAAGAGAAUGUGGACACCUUUGACCCUGAAGACACAGGAAGCUUAGAAUAAAGAGGCACAGGAAAGAGAGUACCAGGUCUUUGUAUAAGAAUCCCUAAAGAAGCUUAAACGGUGGAAGCAGUUGUCCAUGAAAGGCUGGAGGCUGGGGAGAAGGAGUAGGCUAGCCCUGCAAGAGAACUUAAAGCUUCAAAACUCAGCCCUCGCCAUAGACAGUUAGAUGGACAGUCCCCUGUUCCUCAGGCUUCCCACUACCCACUACCUAUUGUCCAGAAGGAUCAUCCUGCCUGGUGAAUCCUGGCUUGCUCUGCAUAUAGCUGACCUACACUGGGAGCUGAGACAAGGACAGGUAGUUAGCUGUUGGCUUCUGGGUUCCUUCCUUGCUCAUCCUUCUAGAAGCUGAAGCUUUAAGGUCUGUCCAGAUGCAGAGAAAAGGAGGCUGAGCUCUGCAUUGGACACCUCUGCUACUGUGGACCAUGGGACUUGGCCUUGGGCGCAGAGGGCAGUCGGUGCCUGUGGACCUUCAGCCUCUGAGGCAGAGGCUCUCCUCAGUACCGUGGAUUGUACUUACAGCAUCCCUUCCCUUGCGCCCCCAAAUGUUUGUUGCCAGAGCCCUGCCCAGUAUUGCUGCAGUGUCACUGGGGCCCUUGUAGGGCGUCCUCACAGCCCCUCACCGUGCCAGACUGAUUAGGAACAGCUCUAUUGACAGGCCUUAUUACUGAGUGCUUCCCUCUCUCAGCUUCUCCUGGCUCAAUGCUCUGGAGCCCUAGAGUCAGCCCAAGACUGCUUGGCCUCAGAGAGGAAGGAUCCUCACAAAGCAGAAAGGCCAAGGCAGGAAAAGCAUUCCCCUUCCUCAACAGAACUGGCCAGCAGGUGGCUAGUGUCCUGACUGGUCUUGGUUGUGUGCUGAGGCUGAGCCCCAUGUCCCUUCCCUUUUCAGUCAGUGAUGAUCAUGUGAUUUUCAUUUCUGCCCUGUGUGGUCAAGGAAGAACCUUCCAGAAGGUUCUGACUUGGACAUUCUUAAAUCCAAUUCAAAGGCCUCGACCUGUCUUUCCCUCCCUUCUGUUUCCUAAUUACUGCAGUGUCCAGCCCAGUGUUGAACAAAUCGUAGUGUGUAGUAGUCUCAUUACAAACAAAUAAAUCAUUUCACUAGUCUCA
Molecule: RNA transcript, 2419 nt
Organism: Arvicola amphibius (Eurasian water vole)
Lineage: Eukaryota; Metazoa; Chordata; Mammalia; Rodentia; Cricetidae
Gene: Naa60
Gene name: N-alpha-acetyltransferase 60, NatF catalytic subunit
Exons: 7
Source: RefSeq, a predicted model, not a curated record